GCAUGGUCUUAGCUUGCUAAGGCCGAUGGCGACCGGCGCACGGGUGAGUAACACGUAUCCAACCUGCCGUCUACUCUUGGACAGCCUUCUGAAAGGAAGAUUAAUACAAGAUGGCAUCAUGAGUCCGCAUGUUCACAUGAUUAAAGGUAUUCCGGUAGACGAUGGGGAUGCGUUCCAUUAGAUAGUAGGCGGGGUAACGGCCCACCUAGUCUUCGAUGGAUAGGGGUUCUGAGAGGAAGGUCCCCCACAUUGGAACUGAGACACGGUCCAAACUCCUACGGGAGGCAGCAGUGAGGAAUAUUGGUCAAUGGGCGAGAGCCUGAACCAGCCAAGUAGCGUGAAGGAUGACUGCCCUAUGGGUUGUAAACUUCUUUUAUAAAGGAAUAAAGUCGGGUAUGGAUACCCGUUUGCAUGUACUUUAUGAAUAAGGAUCGGCUAACUCCGUGCCAGCAGCCGCGGUAAUACGGAGGAUCCGAGCGUUAUCCGGAUUUAUUGGGUUUAAAGGGAGCGUAGAUGGAUGUUUAAGUCAGUUGUGAAAGUUUGCGGCUCAACCGUAAAAUUGCAGUUGAUACUGGCAGUCUUGAGUGCAGUAGAGGUGGGCGGAAUUCGUGGUGUAGCGGUGAAAUGCUUAGAUAUCACGAAGAACUCCGAUUGCGAAGGCAGCUCACUGGAGUGUAACUGACGCUGAUGCUCGAAAGUGUGGGUAUCAAACAGG
Molecule: ribosomal RNA, 715 nt
Filed under: uncultured Bacteroidales bacterium
Lineage: Bacteria; Pseudomonadati; Bacteroidota; Bacteroidia; Bacteroidales
Description: bacterial SSU rRNA
Rfam family: Bacterial small subunit ribosomal RNA
Source: RNAcentral